CAGGCAUAGGACUGAAGCCUGACCAGUGGAGAUGGACAGAUUGAGGAUUUGGUAGAACAUAUUUUACAGCAUCACCUUAAAAAUACAGUUGUGAAAUUCCUAGUAAGACUAAAGAUAAAGGCAGGUUCCUCUGAUGCACCCAUCCUUGUCUUCAGCGCACAUGAUAAUAUGGGGCAUCAGGUACAAUGGCUGGCAGAAUACCCCAGCAGAAAAUCUCCACUCCCAUCAUAUAAGCAACUGCUUACUCUACCUACUUAACAGUCACAUAUAUUCUUACAUGUCUGAAACUAAAAGAUAAACCAUCAUAAAUUCAUAGUCAGAAGAAGAAGAAGAAGAAGAAGAAGAAGAAGAAGAAGAGAGAUCAAAGUUCUCUACCUGUCUCCUCUAUGUGAGGACAUGACAAGAAAGUGGCCGUGAGAAAUUCAGAAAGAGAGUUCUCACUGGUAAAUCAAAUCAGUUGGGACUUUGGUCUUGGAUUUUCCAGAACUAUGAGAA
Molecule: non-coding RNA, 495 nt
Organism: Odocoileus virginianus texanus
Lineage: Eukaryota; Metazoa; Chordata; Mammalia; Artiodactyla; Cervidae
Source: RefSeq, a predicted model, not a curated record